AGAACGAACGCUGGCGGCAUGCCUAACACAUGCAAGUCGAACGAGACCUUCGGGUCUAGUGGCGCACGGGUGCGUAACGCGUGGGAAUCUGCCCUUAGGUACGGAAUAACAGUGAGAAAUUACUGCUAAUACCGUAUGAUGUCUUCGGACCAAAGAUUUAUCGCCUAGGGAUGAGCCCGCGUUGGAUUAGCUAGUUGGUGGGGUAAAGGCCUACCAAGGCGACGAUCCAUAGCUGGUCUGAGAGGAUGAUCAGCCACACUGGGACUGAGACACGGCCCAGACUCCUACGGGAGGCAGCAGUGGGGAAUUUUGGACAAUGGGCGCAAGCCUGAUCCAGCCAUGCCGCGUGCGGGAAGAAGGCCUUCGGGUUGUAAACCGCUUUUGUCAGGGAAGAAAAGCUCCGGGCUAAUACCUUGGAGUCAUGACGGUACCUGAAGAAUAAGCACCGGCUAACUACGUGCCAGCAGCCGC
RNAcentral lists this ribosomal RNA (471 nucleotides) under uncultured bacterium. Its description in RNAcentral is "SSU rRNA". It matches the Rfam family "Bacterial small subunit ribosomal RNA", at positions 26 to 518 of the family's 1533-position model. The record is from RNAcentral.